AAAUAAUUGUAUGUUGUUAGCAAUGAAUAUAUGUAAACCUUUAAAAAUGAAUUAAUGUUUUUGAUAUAGCAUGUUUAAUUCAAGCUAGUCUGUGUUCAAUUAUUGGAAGCAGGGAGUGAACGCUCUAAGAAAUAAAAUAACCUAGGGUGAAACACCUUAUUUUAUGAAAAACUAAUUUUUAGGAGCAUUUUCUUUUAUACUAUGUAAAAAAAUCCCUGAAAGAUGAACAGACUUUGACAGCUGUUAUAGGUGAGAGCCUCAAGUAAAGAUAAAAUUAAAUGUUUUCCUUAAAUGCUAUUGCCCAAAUAAUGAAUAUCCAUAAUUGAAAACUGAGAUUACCUUAUACUUUGCUUUGUUCUCUCUGCCAGAGUCCUACCCACUGUAUUAGUUGUUAGAGUUGUGGAACUUAACCGAAGCUUUCUCUGGAUUCCAGAUGUUUUAAGAAUAUUUUCAGCUGCAUGGCUUGACAGCCUUGGGAUUCCCUCACACAUUCACAGUCUUUUUUGGAUCAGUCUGAUGUGAGCAUGAAAACUGGGAGUUGUGGAGCCCACUUAGGAAAUGAUUGCAAUUGUCCAGGAGACAGAUGAUGGUAAUUAAGUUUCCAUCAGCCUGGAACUCAGGACAGAAGAUACAUAUUCUGUAUGUAGAGAAUCACUGGAGGUCAAAUGUCUUUGCCAAUUUGAGUUUUUCCACUUGAACAAGAAAAGACUGUCAAGGGAAAGCCAAUCAAUUUCACAAUGUUUAGGUAAGUAUAAAUGUAAUAAAGAAUAUUACAUUUGAAUGGAUUUAGUAAUUAAAAAGCAUAAUGGAAAAUGGAAAGUAAAAACUGCUGUACAGAAAAGCCAUCUUAUUACUUAGUGUAAUUAUUUAUGAAUAAAUUUUGCAUCUCAAAAGACAUGAAAAUUUUUACUUCGAAAGAAAACUACAAAACAAAGAAAUGGAAAUUUAUUUGAUAAUUUCAAUAGCUUUUCAGUUCCCAGAAAAAUAGAGACUCAAUCCAGUCUCUUUACUUUUUAAGACUGGAUUGUUAAUUUGGGGUAGCUACUAUUCUCAGUAAAUAUACAUAAGUUCAAGAAAAUCUAAAAAUAAUUUUAUUUCAGAUGCUGAAGAUACAGGGCACAGCUUCCUUCUUGAAUUGCUUGUUGUUUACCUAGUUGACAAUCUACUGGGAAAAAGAAAUUCCUUUUCCAGAAAAGGUUUUCACCAAUUUCAAGGAAUCCUUUAAUGAAAAGAUAAUCCAGUUACUUAGGACAAAAUGUAUUUGUUGAUUGGAUUAAUAUAUGUUGAGAAUAGACUAUAUGCUAGGCAUUUUCCUGGGCUCUGAAUUACAUGAAGAACAAAACUCUUCCAGUAUGGUGCUCACUAAUACUAAGACUUAAAUCAACUGGGUUGCCUGUUUAAGUAAAGGACAGAGUCCAUCCUUAUCUAAUGCCUCCAUUUGAGUUAGAGUACAAGGAUUGGCAAAAAUUGCUACUGUUUACUGCCAGGGAAGCAAUGAACAGAUUGAAAGAAAAAUAUUAAGACAUGAGUGUGUUUGUUUGCACUGCUUAAAGCACCUAGAGGAAGACACAAGUAGAAUAUUAUGAGCCAUUAAUAGAUUUCAUCUACCUUCCUAUUAAUUUAUCCUGUCACCAACUCACUCUGGGGUUUUCUGAUUAUCCCAAAAAUCUUAUCUUUUUCAAAAUGUACACAUUAGCAUCAUACAAUUAAUUUUUUUUUGUCUUUUUUAGACAGAAUCUCACUCUGUUGCCCAGGCUGGAGUGCAGUGGCAUAAUCUCCCCUCACUGCAACCUCUGCCUCCCAGGUUCAAGAAUUCUUGUGCCUCAGCCUUCCAACUAGCUGGGAUUACAGGCAUGGGCCACCACACCUGGCUAAUUUUUGUAUUUUUAGUAGAGAUGGGGUUUCACCAUGUUGUCCAGGCUGGUCUCGAUCGCCUGACCACAAGUGAACCGCCUGCCUUGGCCUCCCAAAAGUGCUGGGAUUACAGGCAUAAGGCACCGUGCCCAGCUGGUACAAGUAAUUUAAUUGAAAUAUUUGCAAGGUGCUUCAAUUUCGGCACAUAAUAACUGCUCUAUGAGUCUGUUAGAUAAAAUAAAAAUACAUCUUUUACAUAUGUGUAUGCAAUAUAUCAGUCAUUUAAAAAAUAUAAACAUUUCAUUUACAAUGCUAUUAUUUCAUGGUUAAAAGAUUUCAUGUCUACUUUAGGCUGAAACAUUUAAAAUGACAAUAGGAUUAUUACAGGUCUUUGGGUAAGCACAUCUUUGUGUGAUUGGAAAUUGGUAAUAAAGUAAGGCAAGAAGGCAGAAGGUAAAAAUCUUGCCUUCACCAAGAUUUACUUUGGUUCAAAUGAAUUAUUUUCCACAUCACAUAAUUAUGAAAAUCUGUGAUUUUGUACUUUUUUAUUUUAAAUAGUUAUAAUACUGUUUCAAUGAAAACCUGUGUUAAGUAAAAAUUGUAUAUGGAUCCUUUGACAGAAUAAUGUGCAUUUAAAAGAAUUUUAUCACCCUCUUCGAAAGUAAUAGUAAAAGCUAAUAUUGGUGAGAAAUACAGCUUAAAAUAGAAUUUUACCAAGUUAGGGUUUUAUUUUCCUCUUAAUUUAGGUUUUUAAUAAUUUUAAAUAGUACUUUAUAUAGGAUAACACUUCUCAAAUCUUGUCCUCAAAAUUCUAACACCUCCCAACUAUGGUUUAGUAAUUACCAAGAAAUAAAAUGAUUCAAAUAUAAAUGGUCCUGCAUGUUGUUCCUGUUUCAUUUAUGAUAGCGAUGAUCUGGAAUACAAAGGAAGUGAGUAAAAUUUUUACGCAUUAGUUUUAAAAGACUCUUUUAAAAAAACAAAUCUACCCCUAAACAUUUCAUUAUCGUCAUUAUCAUUGGUCACAUGACAAUUGUUAGUCACUUCAAACCUGUUUAAUCAGAAUAUCUAGUUUUAAAUUAACUUGUAUAUUCUCAGUAUUGCUUAAGAAGAGCUUAGCUUUCAAGACUAGCUAUUGUAGUUUAUUGGUAGAUUUUCAAAUAGUUGGGAUUAUCUAAUCACUGUAUGAUAUAGACUGACUUCUCUCCUAGCAUCCACAACAACUUAUAGCAUUUAUUUUUACAUGUUUUGCUCCACUAUUGUAAAUUCUUUGAGGAUGGAGGCAAUUUUUUACUUCUUGUUGUACCUCUUAUAAUCGUUUCAUACAUUGUAAAUACUUCAUAAAUGACAGUGGCAAAUUUUAAAGAACCUACUAUGUGCGGGGUACUCUAGAUACUAUUUUUAAUCCACACAAAACUAUUAUCCUUGUUUUUCAGAGGUGAAUUGUAGACUCUGAGAGAUUGAGUGACUUGCCAGAGCUCACAAAGGUAGUAUAGAGCCAGGUUUCAAAUCUCUGACUCUCAAAUCUCCAAAAUUUCUAUUUUUUCCAUUACGCCAUUCCACUUCAAUAAAAUGCUUAAUGAAUGAAUGUGUUAACCAAAGAAGCCGACCUAAUUUUUUUGUAUAUGCAUUAAAACCAAGAUGAGGAAAUGGAAAGCAAUAAAUCACCAUGUCUCUAAAUUCCUUGAGACAGU
RNAcentral lists this long non-coding RNA (3545 nucleotides) under Homo sapiens (human). RNAcentral describes it as "HSALNT0297066". Lineage: Eukaryota; Metazoa; Chordata; Mammalia; Primates; Hominidae. The record is from RNAcentral.